CCUACGGGAGGCAGCAGUGGGGAAUAUUGGGCAAUGGGCGCAAGCCUGACCCAGCAACGCCGCGUGAAGGAAGAAGGCUUUCGGGUUGUAAACUUCUUUUGUCAGGGAAGAGUAGAAGACGGUACCUGACGAAUAAGCCACGGCUAACUACGUGCCAGCAGCCGCGGUAAUACGUAGGUGGCAAGCGUUGUCCGGAUUUACUGGGUGUAAAGGGCGUGUAGCCGGGUUGACAAGUCAGAUGUGAAAUCCUGCGGCUUAACCGCAGAACUGCAUUUGAAACUGUUUUUCUUGAGUACUGGAGAGGCAGGCGGAAUUCCGGGUGUAGCGGUGAAAUGCGUAGAGAUUAGGAGGAACACCAGUGGCGAAGGCGGUCUGCUGGACAGCAACUGACGGUGAGGCGCGAAAGCGUGGGGAGCAAACAGGAUUAGAUACCCCAGUAGUC
Molecule: ribosomal RNA, 442 nt
Filed under: uncultured bacterium
Lineage: Bacteria
Description: partial 16S ribosomal RNA
Rfam family: Bacterial small subunit ribosomal RNA
Source: RNAcentral